GCUAAUUAUGGUCAGGUCUACAUACACCAAACAACUAGCUGUCCUUUGACUUUGACUUUUGCUACAAGACCCCGCCAAAUGGCUGCAGACUUGGUCAGUCGGCCAGUAGACAUCGGUUGGUAAGAGGAAUAGAAUGGGACGGCCGGGCGAGAAGUAAGAAAAACGACAUAUUUUCGUCCGUCUAUUCAGAGGAAAAGAAGAACAGGGGGAGAGCAUGUGGGUGAACAACCUACGUACAAUCAAAAGACUCUUCACGUGGCUAGUCAGCUAAUGAUGUGUAGAAGUUCAAUAGUCUCUUCGACCGACCCGACUAGAUCUAAGAUCUAAUGUGCACCUGCUUCCUUCGUUCUAGUACCGAAACGGCCGGAGCUAGAGGGUGGACCGAGUGAACCCUGUCUUCGAUACCGACGUCCUGUGUCCCUUUUCGAAGAGAACGCUGCCAACGGCACUCGGGCCGUCCCCGCUCUCCAUGUCCACGGUAGGUACGCUGAAGCUGGAGGUGUUCGUAACGCGGAACCUGUUCUCGUACCGAAACGGUCGGAGCUAGACGGUGGGGCGGGUGAACCCUGUGUCCGACAGCGACCUCCGCUGGCUCAUGACCCUCAAGCACACGUUGCCGACGGCACUCUCUCCGCGCCCGCUCUCCAUGUCCACGGCCCGGACGUCCAAGCUGGAGGUGUUCGUCACGCGGAACCUUCUUCCUUGGUUCUAGUACCGAAAGGGUGCGAGGUAGAGCGUGGGGCUAGUAACCCCCGUGUUCGACAGCGACCUCCGCUGACUGAUGACCUUCAAGCACACGUUACCGACGCCAUUCUCGCCCAACCCGCUCUCCAUGUCCACGGCCCGGACGUUUAAACUGGAGGUGUUCGUCACGCGGACCCCGGUUCCCUGGUUCUAGUACCGGAGGAGUCCGAACUAGAGGGUGAGCCGGGUGAACCUUGUGUACGACUGCGACACGCGGGGACCGGAGAGGUUGAAGCACACUCGGGCCGUGCCUCCUUUCCAUGUCCACGGUACGUACGCUGAAACUGGAGGUGUUCGUCACGCGGAACCUGGUUCCUUGGUUCGAACACGUGGGCGACGAAUUCUUGCAGCUCGACCACGAGGCCAAGGUCCCGGGGUUCCUGCCGCCGUCCGACCACACGCUGCGGACACCGUUGCGGCACGACCCUAAGGUGAUGGUGUCGUCGUUCGACACGGAGGUGGGCACGACGCGUUUGGGUGACCUACAGUUGUUCUUGCUCCUACUACCAGCGCCCUCUCUAGUCGGCAGGUCCUCAUUUAAGGUCGCGUGUAACAGACAGUCGCCCGUAUAGUCACUGCGCUAUCUAUGACCUCUUCGCCAUCGACUAGAGAAGUUGAGUUAAUUAGAUCUGCUACCGCCAAGGCAUCUCCUUGGGCUGAAGCUGAAACUGAAAAUUCAUAUAGACCACAAACCGAAAGGAGACCCUAACAUGCA
This 1459-nucleotide ribosomal RNA is filed under the name Triticum aestivum (bread wheat). RNAcentral describes it as "partial small subunit ribosomal RNA". Lineage: Eukaryota; Viridiplantae; Streptophyta; Magnoliopsida; Poales; Poaceae. The record is from RNAcentral.